RNAcentral lists this ribosomal RNA (700 nucleotides) under uncultured bacterium. RNAcentral describes it as "bacterial SSU rRNA". It matches the Rfam family "Bacterial small subunit ribosomal RNA", at positions 80 to 768 of the family's 1533-position model. The record is from RNAcentral.
CUAGAUACAAGCGAGCGGCGGACGGGUGAGUAACACGUGGGUAACCUGCCCAAGAGACUGGGAUAACACCUGGAAACAGAUGCUAAUACCGGAUAACAACACUAGACGCAUGUCUAGAGUUUGAAAGAUGGUUCUGCUAUCACUCUUGGAUGGACCUGCGGUGCAUUAGCUAGUUGGUAAGGUAACGGCUUACCCAGGCAAUGAUGCAUAGCCGAGUUGAGAGACUGAUCGGCCACAUUGGGACUGAGACACGGCCCAAACUCCUACGGGAGGCAGCAGUAGGGAAUCUUCCACAAUGGACGAAAGUCUGAUGGAGCAACGCCGCGUGAGUGAAGAAGGGUUUCGGCUCGUAAAGCUCUGUUGGUAGUGAAGAAAGAUAGAGGUAGUAACUGGCCUUUAUUUGACGGUAAUUACUUAGAAAGUCACGGCUAACUACGUGCCAGCAGCCGCGGUAAUACGUAGGUGGCAAGCGUUGUCCGGAUUUAUUGGGCGUAAAGCGAGUGCAGGCGGUUCAAUAAGUCUGAUGUGAAAGCCUUCGGCUCAACCGGAGAAUUGCAUCAGAAACUGUUGAACUUGAGUGCAGAAGAGGAGAGUGGAACUCCAUGUGUAGCGGUGGAAUGCGUAGAUAUAUGGAAGAACACCAGUGGCGAAGGCGGCUCUCUGGUCUGCAACUGACGCUGAGGCUCGAAAGCAUGGGUAG